RNAcentral lists this ribosomal RNA (354 nucleotides) under uncultured Streptococcus sp. RNAcentral's name for it is "bacterial SSU rRNA". It matches the Rfam family "Bacterial small subunit ribosomal RNA", at positions 1026 to 1382 of the family's 1533-position model. Lineage: Bacteria; Bacillati; Bacillota; Bacilli; Lactobacillales; Streptococcaceae. The record is from RNAcentral.
CAUCGGUGACAGGUGGUGCAUGGUUGUCGUCAGCUCGUGUCGUGAGAUGUUGGUUAAGUCCCGCAACGAGCGCAACCCCUAUCGUUAGUUGCCAUCAUUCAGUUGGGCACUCUAGCGAGACUGCCGGUAAUAAACCGGAGGAAGGUGGGGAUGACGUCAAAUCAUCAUGCCCCUUAUGACCUGGGCUACACACGUGCUACAAUGGUUGGUACAACGAGUUGCGAGUCGGUGACGGCGAGCUAAUCUCUUAAAGCCAAUCUCAGUUCGGAUUGUAGGCUGCAACUCGCCUACAUGAAGUCGGAAUCGCUAGUAAUCGCGGAUCAGCACGCCGCGGUGAAUACGUUCCCGGGCCUU